This 253-nucleotide ribosomal RNA is filed under the name uncultured bacterium. RNAcentral describes it as "partial 16S ribosomal RNA". It matches the Rfam family "Bacterial small subunit ribosomal RNA", at positions 524 to 776 of the family's 1533-position model. The record is from RNAcentral.
UACAGAGGGGGCAAGCGUUGUUCGGAAUUACUGGGCGUAAAGGGCGCGUAGGCGGCCUUCUAAGUCAGACGUGAAAUCCCUCGGCUCGACCGGGGAACUGCGUCUGAGACUGGAAGGCUUGAAUCCGGGAGAGGGAUGUGGAAUUCCAGGUGUAGCGGUGAAAUGCGUAGAUAUCUGGAGGAACACCGGUGGCGAAGGCGGCAUCCUGGACCGGUAUUGACGCUGAGGCGCGAAAGCCAGGGGAGCAAACGGG